This 279-nucleotide ribosomal RNA is filed under the name uncultured bacterium. Its description in RNAcentral is "partial 16S ribosomal RNA". It matches the Rfam family "Bacterial small subunit ribosomal RNA", at positions 506 to 784 of the family's 1533-position model. The record is from RNAcentral.
UGCCAGCUGCCGCGGUAAUACGGAGGGGGCUAGCGUUGUUCGGAAUUAUUGGGCGUAAAGGGCGCGCAGGCGGUCUUGUGCGUCAGGUGUGAAAGCUCGGGGCUCAACCCCGGAAGUGCACUUGAAACAGCAAGACUUGAAUACGGUAGAGGAGAGAGGAAUUCCUGGUGUAGAGGUGAAAUUCGUGGAUCUCAGGAGGAACAUCAAUGGCGAAGGCAGCUUCUUGGUUCGUGGCUGACGCUCAAACACGAAGGCGUGGGUAGCAAACAGGAUUAGAUA